UACGUAGGGUGCAAGCGUUGUCCGGAAUUAUUGGGCGUAAAGAGCUCGUAGGCGGUUUGUCGCGUCUGCUGUGAAAACUUGGGGCUUAACCCCGGGCCUGCAGUGGGUACGGGCAGACUAGAGUGCGGUAGGGGAGACUGGAAUCCCUGGUGUAGCGGUGAAAUGCGCAGAUAUCAGGAGGAACACCAGUGGCGAAGGCGCCGCUCUGGGCCGUGACUGACGCUGAAGAGCGAAAGCGUGGGUAGCAAACAGG
RNAcentral lists this ribosomal RNA (253 nucleotides) under uncultured bacterium. Its description in RNAcentral is "partial 16S ribosomal RNA". It matches the Rfam family "Bacterial small subunit ribosomal RNA", at positions 524 to 776 of the family's 1533-position model. The record is from RNAcentral.